RNAcentral lists this ribosomal RNA (497 nucleotides) under uncultured bacterium. RNAcentral describes it as "partial 16S ribosomal RNA". It matches the Rfam family "Bacterial small subunit ribosomal RNA", at positions 28 to 507 of the family's 1533-position model. The record is from RNAcentral.
GAUGAACGCUGGCGGCGUGCCUAAUACAUGCAAGUCGAGCGAACAGACGAGGAGCUUGCUCCUCUGACGUUAGCGGCGGACGGGUGAGUAACACGUGGAUAACCUACCUAUAAGACUGGGAUAACUUCGGGAAACCGGGGCUAAUACCGGAUAAUAUAUUGAACCGCAUGGUUCAAUAGUGAAAGACGGUUUUGCUGUCACUUAUAGAUGGAUCCGCGCCGCAUUCGCUAGUUGGUAAGGUAACGGCUUACCAAGGCAACGAUGCGUAGCAGACCUGAGAGGGUGGUCGGCCACACUGGAACUGAGACACGGACCAGACUCCUACGGGAGGCAGCAGUAGGGAAUCUUCCGCAAUGGGCGAAAGCCUGACGGAACAACGCCGCGUGAGGGAUGAAGGUCUUCGGAUCGGAAAACUCUGUUAUUAGGGAAGAACAAAUGUGUGAGUAACUAUGCACGUCUUGACGGUACCUAAUCAGAAAGCCACGGCUAACUACGUG